UACGUAGGGUGCAAGCGUUGUCCGGAAUUAUUGGGCGUAAAGAGCUCGUAGGCGGUUUGUCACGUCGGCUGUGAAAACCCGAGGCUCAACCUCGGGCCUGCAGUCGAUACGGGCAGACUAGAGUAUGGCAGGGGAGACUGGAAUUCCUGGUGUAGCGGUGAAAUGCGCAGAUAUCAGGAGGAACACCAAUGGCGAAGGCAGCUCGCUGGGACGGUACUGACGCUGAGGAGCGAAAGCAUGGGGAGCGAACAGG
RNAcentral lists this ribosomal RNA (253 nucleotides) under uncultured bacterium. RNAcentral describes it as "partial 16S ribosomal RNA". It matches the Rfam family "Bacterial small subunit ribosomal RNA", at positions 524 to 776 of the family's 1533-position model. The record is from RNAcentral.